GGGCCCGCACAAGCGGUGGAGCAUGUGGUUUAAUUCGAUGCAACGCGAAAAACCUUACCUACCCUUGACAUCCCUGAAAUCGUCUAGCAGUAGACGAGUGCCUUCGGGAAUCAGGUGACAGGUGCUGCAUGGCUGUCGUCAGCUCGUGUCGUGAGAUGUUAGGUUAAGUCCUGCAACGAGCGCAACCCCUAUACUUAUUUGCCAGCACGUAAUGGUGGGGACUAUAAGUAAACUGCCGGUGAUAAACCGGAGGAAGGUGGGGAUGAUGUCAAGUCAUCAUGGCCCUUAUGGGUAGGGCUACACACGUGCUACAAUGGACAGUACAAUUGGUUGCGAACCCGCGAGGGGGAGCUAAUCUCAGAAAGCCUGUCUCAGUCCGGAUUGGAGUCUGCAACUCGACUCCAUGAAGUCGGAAUCGCUAG
This 422-nucleotide ribosomal RNA is filed under the name uncultured bacterium. RNAcentral's name for it is "bacterial SSU rRNA". It matches the Rfam family "Bacterial small subunit ribosomal RNA", at positions 917 to 1338 of the family's 1533-position model. The record is from RNAcentral.